CCUACGGGAGGCAGCAGUAGGGAAUCUUCCACAAUGGGCGAAAGCCUGAUGGAGCAACGCCGCGUGGGUGAAGAAGGUCUUCGGAUCGUAAAACCCUGUUGUUAGAGAAGAAAGUGCGUGAGAGUAACUGUUCACGUUUCGACGGUAUCUAACCAGAAAGCCACGGCUAACUAAGUGCCAGCAGCCGCGGUAAUACGAAGGUGGGAAGCGUUAUCCGGAUUGAUUGGGCGUAAGGGGAACGCAGGCGGUCUUUUAAGUCUGAUGUGAAAGCCCUCGGCUUAACCGGAGUAGUGCAUUGGAAACUGGGAGACUUGAGUGCAGAAGAGGAGAGUGGAACUCCAGGUGUAGCGGUGAAAUGCGUAGAUAUAUGGAAGAACACCAGUGGCGAAAGCGGCUCUCUGGUCUGUAACUGACGCUGAGGUUCGAAAGCGUGGGUAGCAAACAGGAUUAGAUACCCCUGUAGUC
Molecule: ribosomal RNA, 465 nt
Filed under: uncultured bacterium
Lineage: Bacteria
Description: partial 16S ribosomal RNA
Rfam family: Bacterial small subunit ribosomal RNA
Source: RNAcentral